GUGGGGAAUCUUGCGCAAUGGGCGAAAGCCUGACGCAGCCAUGCCGCGUGGAUGAUGAAGGUCUUAGGAUUGUAAAAUCCUUUCACCGGUGAAGAUAAUGACGGUACCCGGAGAAGAAGCUCCGGCUAACUUCGUGCCAGCAGCCGCGGUAAUACGAAGGGGGCUAGCGUUGCUCGGAAUUACUGGGCGUAAAGGGCGCGUAGGCGGACAGCUUAGUCAGAGGUGAAAGCCCAGGGCUCAACCUUGGAAUUGCCUUUGAUACUGGCUGUCUUGAGUUUGGGAGAGGUGAGUGGAACUCCGAGUGUAGAGGUGAAAUUCGUAGAUAUUCGGAAGAACACCAGUGGCGAAGGCGACUCACUGGCCCAAUACUGACGCUGAGGCGCGAAAGCGUGGGGAGCAAACAGGAUUAGAUACCCCUGUAGUCC
This 425-nucleotide ribosomal RNA is filed under the name uncultured bacterium. Its description in RNAcentral is "partial 16S ribosomal RNA". It matches the Rfam family "Bacterial small subunit ribosomal RNA", at positions 354 to 796 of the family's 1533-position model. The record is from RNAcentral.